CUUGAAAUUAAUUUGAGUCGAGCUCGAGUGAGCCUAAUUUCGAGUCAAGCGAGCUCGAGCCCUGAACGAGCUGUUUGAAAUUCUUAACACCGUGCAAUCUAUAGUUUAAUUUUUAUAAAACAUUAUCUAAAAUUCGAUAAAAAAAAUGUCUAAUAGCUCAACAUACAAAAUGAAUGCAUGAAAUACAAUAUUAUAAGAUUAAAAAAAAUAGAAAAAGCGAUUCUGUGAGUGAGUGAAAAAGAGAGAAAGAGAGAGAAGUUAGAGUACAAUUUUGCUGGUUUGAUUUUGUGGGCCCAAUAAUCUAAAUUCUAUAUACAUAUAAUUAAAAUACAUAAUAUAUAUUAUUUUAUAUAAUUAAAAUAUAUAUUAUAUAUAAUUAUAUAAAGAGAGAGUUCGGCUAUUAUACUCCUAUUAGUAUAGAGCCCUUUAUACUCAUAUAAGUUUUCGAUCGUUAGAUCUAUGCUUUUGACUAUUUCCAUCCAUAAAUCAUACUAUUCAACCAAUCAUCCACCCAAUUCCAGGGGACCACUAUCAUCCUAAUUGCACAUCCAACGGCCAAAAAUUUAUAAGUAUAAAAAGAUCUACUCAAAAGAGUAUAGUAGCCCUAGCCUAUAUAUAUAUAUAUAUAUAUAAUUAGGUUACUAUACUAUUAAUAGUACCAGCCGCUUGUUAUUAAGUUUUCGGCCCUUAGAUGAAGGGAUGUGUGGUCAGAAUAAUUAUAGCCCCUUAGGGUUGAGGAGGUGGGUAGUUGAAUAGUAUGAUCUAAUGGAUGAAAAUAGCCAAAGGGUAGAUCUAAUAGUAGAAAACUCGAUAGCAUCAAACGCUUAGUAUAGUAACCGGACUUUAUAUAUAUAUAGAUAGAUCUAACGGCAGAUAACUCGAUAGCACAAAACGAUUGGUACUAUAAAUUGUAUAAUAGUCGAACUAUAUACAUAUAGAGAGAGAGUCCGGCUACUAUAUUAUCGAUAGUACGUCGUCCGCUUGGU
This 986-nucleotide long non-coding RNA is filed under the name Ananas comosus (pineapple). RNAcentral describes it as "long non-coding RNA (ACOM_LNC027574)". The record is from RNAcentral. Lineage: Eukaryota; Viridiplantae; Streptophyta; Magnoliopsida; Poales; Bromeliaceae.